This is a long non-coding RNA of Crotalus tigris (Tiger rattlesnake), 523 nucleotides long. RefSeq lists it as uncharacterized. NCBI's taxonomy places the organism in Eukaryota, Metazoa, Chordata, Lepidosauria, Squamata, Viperidae. The transcript is spliced from 3 exons. The record is from RefSeq and is a predicted model, not a curated record.
AAUGACAGCAGUGAAAUAUCUAAUUUCACGCAAAUACAUAUUCAGUUCUAUUUUGUGGAGGGAUAAAGCAGCAAUGGGAAAGUAUGUAUAAGCUGGUAGAUGAGGCUUGUGAUCAGAGCCUUUCAAGGUGAGAGUGCAAUGUGAAGGUAACCAUUGUGUCCAGAUGAUGACAAAUGACUAGAGGACAAUGGACAGAAAUGUUUAAAGGCAGCCAGCCAGUUGUUCAUCUUCAUGAAGAAAAAGUGUUGGGAACUCAGAAAGGCCUAAAGGGAUAAAAACUGGAACUAAAUUAAUUAACCUCUGCUAUACAGAUCCUCAGUUCCCCCCCCUCCAGCAUUUCAAAAAAAUGGAUCCUUCAUGCAAAUUAUGGACCAGAAGGGAAAAAAAACCCUAGAUGAUUUAUCCAGUGAUUUCAUUAACCCCAGACCUCAUCUAAGCACACCUCCUAAAACCUUCUGCCUUCUUCUGAAUGAUGAUCUCUAUUCCCUAAUGCCAGCAGGAGGAGUCGAUUAGGUCAUGGGAG